AGAGUUUGAUCCUGGCUCAGAUUGAACGCUGGCGGCACGCUUAACACAUGCAAGUCGAGCGGUAACAUGAUUAGUGCUUGCACUAAUUGAUGACGAGCGGCGGACGGGUGAGGAACACGUAGGAACCUGCCCAAGAGAGGGGGAUAACCAAGGGAAACUUUGGCUAAUACCGCAUAAUCUCUACGGAGAAAAGCUGCCCGCAAGGGUAGCGCUUUUGGAGGGGCCUGCGUCCGAUUAGCUUGUUGGUGGGGUAAAAGCUUACCAAGGCGAUGAUCGGUAACUGGUCUGAGAGGACGACCAGUCACACUGGGACUGAGACACGGCCCAGACUCCUACGGGAGGCAGCAGUGGGGAAUCUUGGACAAUGGGGGCAACCCUGAUCCAGCGAUGCCGCGUGGGUGAAGAAGGCCUUCGGGUUGUAAAGCCCUUUAGGCUGGGAAGAAGGAUGCGGGGUGAAUAAUCCUGUAUUUUGACGGUACCAGCAGAAUAAGCACCGGCAAACUCUGUGCCAGCAGCCGCGGUAAUACAGAGGGUGCGAGCGUUAAUCGGAUUUACUGGGCGUAAAGGGCGCGUAGGCGGUCGUAUGAGUGUGAUGUGAAAGCCCCGGGCUCAACCUGGGAAGUGCAUCGCAAACGAUACGACUGGGGUAUAUGAGAGGGUGGCGGAAUUUCCGGUGUAGCGGUGAAAUGCGUAGAGAUCGGAAGGAACGUCAAUGGCGAAGGCAGCCACCUGGCAUAAUACUGACGCUGAGGCGCGAAAGCGUGGGGAGCGAACAGGAUUAGAUACCCUGGUAGUCCACGCCGUAAACGAUGAGAACUAAAUGUUGGGGGGGGAACCCUUCAGUAUUGAAGCUAACGCGAUAAGUUCUUCGCCUGGGAAGUACAGUCGCAAGACUGAAACUCAAAGGAAUUGACGG
Molecule: ribosomal RNA, 916 nt
Filed under: uncultured bacterium
Lineage: Bacteria
Description: bacterial SSU rRNA
Rfam family: Bacterial small subunit ribosomal RNA
Source: RNAcentral